Non-coding RNA from Apaloderma vittatum (bar-tailed trogon), 73 nucleotides. The record is from Rfam. Lineage: Eukaryota; Metazoa; Chordata; Aves; Trogoniformes; Trogonidae.
AGAUGGUUGGCUCAGUCAGUUGAGCGUGGCGCUGACAACGCCAAGGCCACGGGUUCGAUUCCCAUUCGGUCCC